UUGUCUGUUGUUGUUUUCAAAGCAUUUAUCAUCAUAGCCAAAAGUAAGCUGCAAUAUCUGGAAGCUAUACCUACAUUAUUAAAUAACUCUGAGAAUACUCAUGGAGAGCAGGGCUUUCUCUGGCUUGAAAAACAUACCUUUGUACUGGAGGGAGAGGGUUGAAUUUCAUUUUGCUAAGGUUCUUACAGGGAUGCUAGAACAAACGGGCAGCUCUUUCAGUGUAAUGUAAAAAUAGCAAGAUCUAAGUGCUUCCUGAUCCUCUUAGAGAAUGAGCAUUCAGAGACACAAGUCUGGGAGUGGCUUCCUGGGUUGUUUCAUCCUUGGAGUUAACUUAAAUAGGUUGGAGCUAGAGGUGGCUACGUAAGGUCGUUGGUUAAGUGACUUUCACAAUAUGUAAGGAUUCAGGAUCCAUUGUCAGUCAGAACUGGGAUUUGGAGGGGGAUGGAGAGAUCAGGACACAAGUGGAGCACAGAUCGUAAGCAGUGAUGGAAAUCCCUCUGCCCAAAGCGAAUGGAGGCAGCAGGUCACAGAAGGAAGCAAGAGCCUCCUUUGGUCCUGUAUGGAAGGUGUACGAUGUCCUCCUCCCGUGACACAGGCUGCAACUGCUGUCUGAACCGAGUUCAUCCACAAACUGCUUCUGCACGCAUAAACUUCAAAACUGCUCACGGGAAGGUUAGUUACACACGGGGACUUGCAAACAGCUGACACUUGUGCUGACAGGAGAGUAAAAAGAUGACGAAAUGUAUCUGACAGGCAUGCUCUUCGCUUGCACAAGACUAAGAAGAGAGAGCAUUUGUCAAAAUGGAUGUGGUGCGUGCGUCUCUGCUCUCACGUGGUUACGGUGCCGCCUUUGUGGAUGCAUGCCUGGCUGUGUUGCCUGCAACAAGAUCUUCUGUCCCUUCAAAUGCCACUUACUAUCAAAUCAUGGAACUGCUUAGAUGCCAGUGUUGACAUUAAUGCAAACAGAUCUAAAAAAAAUUCUGGUAAGGUUCCACUGAUAAGCACUUUGGCCUUAAUCUUGUGGGUGGAUGUGUGUGGGCAGAUGCUUUUGUUCCUGCAGAGUCUCUCUGAGGGCAGGGAGAGCGCACACAGGGUUGUAAGUCAGCUGUUUGCCUCGAGUUUUUGGCUGGACAGGGUCUUAGUGUGGGGUUUUGAAAGGCAGCUAAAUGAUUUUAUUCUACAUGUCCAUUAAUUCUCACCAGGAACUGUAAUUCAUAAGUGACUUAAGCUCCUUUGAAACUCCGUGCUUGCUUUACUAUUUAAAAAGUAUUGGUUAUUUUUUUCCCCAUUUUAUUUUUCCAACUAUUCACACUAUAUUCUAUUUUGUAACCAAUCUUUGGAGUCCAAAUUUCACCCCCAGCUAUUCAUGUAAAACCCCAUCUUCAACCAGCAGGACACCAAACAGAUCAAGAAUAAGCAUGAAAAUACACAGAAAUCUGUGGGAUUUGCAUAGGUCUCACUGUGUUGUAUGUGCAGCAGAUCUUGGAGAAUCCAAAAUUGAAUAAGUCAUCUAAAAAUACACAUAUAUAUAUUUAACUGAAUCUUGAAUUUCACUAAAAUAUUUUUUAAUGGCAAAACAGGCAUUAAAAUACCAGUUGAACACUUAAUUUCAGAGGAUGGGACCUGUGGUGUGUGUGCACCCAAUUUUUGUUCUUGGCAGUAAUGAGAACUUACUGAAUACAGUUCCUAUAAGGUUUGUGACAGGAACUCCAAGAUUUUUCAGUGAGAACAGACUACUGCUGUCUUAAAUACAAUGCUGCUAGAAAAUGCCACAAAAGUUUGUCCUGCCGGAGAGACUGUUUGUUCUUCCACCAGUGCCACAUGUAGGAGCUGUGUUCUCAAGAGACGUCUGUUCCUGAAAGAUCCCUUCCCUUCCAGGCCUUCCAAGGUCAUGCUUCAACAUGAGACUUGAAAAUCCUAAAUGUCAGCAAACAGUGGGGCAAUCUGUUAAGCGCAUUCAGAGUCUAAAUAGAUUGUCUUUUUCUUUUUUCUUGCUGUGUAAGCUUAAAAAUUUGAAGAAAUUCCAUCAACUUGCUACCAAACAUACUGUUAUACUGCCUGCUCUUCCCAUGUAGUGACUUCUGCAUACGCACCCAGAGCUGCCUGCCUGUCACUCAGGUUAUGCUUUCUGUUCGUUGCUGUUGCAGCAUUUCUUAUGUCUCUUUUGGGCUGAAUCCCACUGAGUCAGUGGAAGAGUCCCGUUGCUGGACUGGAAUUAGGAAGGGGUUGUUAAGACUCAUCCUGGUCCAAACUUGACACUGCCUGUAAUUCACAACAUAUGCAACCAGAAGGGUAAUAAUAGCCCAGUAAGGAGGGUUACCUUUUACCCUUACAUGGGAAAUUAGUGUAUUUGCGUGUCUGUACCCUCUGUACUCCGUUGGGCUCUGCUUUCCUCAGGGUAGCAAUGACACUUUGCACAGAAGGUUUGAGAGCUGCCACUUUGAACACGAAAAGGGGUGAUAAGCUUUGUCAGAGGCUCAACCAGCCUUCGAGGUCAGCCAAACAAGCAGAUAGUGCUUGUUGGGAGUUCUGUUAAUAAAUUACGGCAGCUUUACACUCGUUAGGUAGCAGCCUGCUAUUAGCUGACACCCCUUCUGUGGCUAUCUGGAAAACACCUCUCCGGCAGCGUAUGGCUACUGUGACCCAACACCGAGUGACAGCCAAGUGCAGGGCGUUGUUUUGAGCUCUCAGAUCGCCAGGGCUGAGUUUGCCCUUGCUCUGAAGGAAAGCUCACGAGCUGCACGUAAGGAUGAACAAAGAAGGUUGCUGCUAAUCCCCUUGGCUUGUUUGUGCGCUGUCUUGGCAUCAACCCCGGUGCAGGAGAUGUCGCUCAGCUUAUACAUGGCUGGGGAAAGUAGGGGAAAGGAAAUAAAAUGCUGCUGGAAUAACCCUUCACAAGUACUAAGUGCUGGAGAAAGUGAAGACUCAUUUUCACUUCAGAAAAGGGGAUUCUAGCCUGUAGGUUGCACACAGAUGUGUGCGUCCUGCAUCUGGGAUGCAACAGGGACUCCUGCUGAAAGCAGCAAGACUGAACUUUGCAGGACGUGAAAAACAGCCAAGGCCUCCACUGUAUAAAACCUACUGAGGAAAAUGGCUCUGUUGUACCCAGCUUUCCAUCUUUAAUACAAAAAGACUGCAUUGUACUUUUCCUGCACAGCCUGAAUGCAAAUUCAUAACUAUGGUCAAUGUGGCUGCCUUGCUUCCAUAAGUUUUUUCUUACAGUCCUUGCUUAUUAAAAUGUUAAGUCCUUCAUUGAAAUUCCACCUCCAGUGGAACAGCCCUUGAUCAGCCGUCCCCGGGAAAACAGAGCGGGCUAUGACAGCAAAAGCAUUGUGAUGGACUUCCCUUUGCUCUCUUGCCAUUUAUUGAAAAUUUUCCAUUAUUUUGGAUAAAUGGUCAGUGCUGCUCUGGAAACUUGGUUGUGCUUUUGAUUCUCUAUUAUCAAGCAAAGCAUAACAUCAUUUAAAACAAACACCAGAAUCAGAAACCAGUCCUUGUAUAACUUGGGAAGGGCCUGCUUUAAUAAUAUUUUUUGAACAAUCCUGUGACUGAAGUGGUAUUGAGCUACCAUAUCCAUCUGGCCCCAUGUAUUUAGAUAAAAAUUAUUUUUCACAGAAGAGAUCUGCAGAUAAUAUUACAAGAAGGGAUGGAAGAUGUUCCAACAGGGCUUUGUAAAGGAUUCAUAGUUUACUUGUCUUCCUCUCUCUCCUUCCUGUCUCUGUAGAUUUAAUUAUGAUCCUUUGUCCUUAUUCCUUUGAAAACAACCUUUAAAAAAUGCAGAUGCCUUUGGAGCUGCAGUGAGAAAGCCCUCAGCUCACGCAAUGAGAGUCUAAAGAGAAAGAUGUAAGGCUGGAAGAUAACUUUAGGCAAGUCCACAAGAAGGGGAAGGGUAUAAACAGGGUCCCAGGAAGUCUCCUGACUUCAUCUUUACCUGCCAGUGUAAAGCAAGCCAUUGGAAACAGGAAAAAGAGAGCCCAGAAAGGUGCAUUUGUAUCACCGGGUGUGCUGAGAGGUAAUUCAGUGUCUAAAUAUUUUACACAUGUAACAUCUUGUGAAGAUAUGAAUGCCUGUUACAUUUCCUCCGAAAUCACAACCAGCAUCGUUAACAGCAUUUCCCCAUUCUUGUUGCCAUCACUGGCCUUAGUCACAAAGAUGAUUGUCCCAGGCUAGCUUUGACACCUCUGCUGCUCUCAGUGCAAAGAGAUCCACCUCCUCCACGUCUAACUUUGCUGGAAUCGCUCCCGGUUUCCACAGAUUGAGGCAGACAGUGAUGUUUUAUAGUUCUAAAAUUGAUUGGUAGGAGGAAGAGAAGCAGGGAAGAAAACAGAAAUGCAGAGGGGGAGGAGGCAGGCAGUACAGCAGGCAGGGUGGACUAUUGCCUAGCUUUAUUUAACGGGUGCUUUCAAUGGCUGGGAGAUGACACCAGAAAUUUCACAAAGGCAGAAUUUGUGUUUCAAUGUAUAAUUAUAUGCUUACAAUGUAGUGAUAUGGAUAAUUACGGCCAUUAAAAAAAAAUACUCUCUUUUUCUUUUGUAUUACAGCUAUUUUGUGGAUCAUAAAGUAUUAUCCGCUACACGAUUUGGAAAUUACUUGUUUGUUGCUGUUGUUUGCUUUGUUUUGCUUUUGUUUGUUUUUCAUCAAUGACUACAGGUCAUCACUGCCUAUUUGUAGGGAACAACUCACUUGGAAAUAACACAACUGAAGACAAAAACAGCCCUUUGCCAUAUCUGCUGUACUUACUGACUGUGAUCACAACUGCAGUCCUGGGACAGGCAAAUGCAAGCCCAAACGACUGUCAGGAUCUGGCCCAGUACACAGCAUUUCUUUCAGACAGACUUCAGUGGCCUCUGAGAUCACCCAUGUGAGUGUGGAGUCAGCUGGGAAGGCCUUGGAGCAGGGUAUGAAAUCCUCGUUGUGACGAUGUUCUCCAGAAUGACAACAGGCACGUUGCCUUCAGCAGACCAGAUUUCGUUCCCUGUGUGUGAACAGAUUCCAAGAGGAAUGAUCACAUUGUAUAUGGCCAGCUGUGAAAUGUUUUGGCAAAGGAAGCAGGGCUUGAACUUGAACCCUUCCAGGUGAAAAGUAAAGGCAGGAUCAAUCUGUGUGCACAUGAAAUGGGAAGCGAGGCAGCUUGUGGGGGAGGCUUUGGUCCAUGACACCACCGAUUGACUCCCUUGACUCCUGCCCUGCAGCUUUGUGACUUUCUCAAUGCCAGUUUGAGUUUUGACCAAACAGCCCAGAAAAGUCUCUUGCUCUUGGUGAUGAGAGCUCACAGAAUCAUAGCACCAGUGAACAUUUGAGCCCUCCAGAGUGUGAAGUAAUAAUGGCCAGCUGGUGCCAUCUCAGUUGGGAAAGUAGUCAGCAAAUGGCUAAGAUAUGAGAGUUAAAUCUGGUUUAUACCACACCAGAGAGGACUGGUUUGGAUUGGCUUCCAGAGGAUUUCCGAACAAAGGAGUUGCUCAAAAUCUUGGUCCCUUCUGAACAGCAACAUUCCUUUGUACCAGCAGGAUCUUUGGACUUCAAGUUUGGGAACAGAUUCUGGAAAACAGACAGGGAUCCACUGCUGAGAUCCUCUGGUCAAGCCAAGAUGACAAAACUGACGGAAAAAAUGUAUGUCCUCUUGUAAUCACAGGAAAACACCGGAGGCAAGUUAAUUUGAUCCCAUUCAUCAUUUCAACAUCAUAAGCUUACAAUUCCCUGUGUAAUUCUUUAACAAGGUGAAACAAUAGUUUUGAGAGAGUAGUCUCAGGGCUGUAUCCUUCUCAACAGCCUGCCAGUCUGUGUGGCCAUGUCCACCUUGUCCUCUGGGUUUGCUCACCUCCAGUAACCUGUUCCCUUACCUGCGGGUAUGUGGAUGAUGCCAAACUGCAGCAACGGUGAGUUUGUUCUAGCAAACUUGCUUUCCUUCAUAUAAACAUUUUUCUCUGGAAUUUAUUUCCCCCCCUGUUCCUUUGGAUGUAUUGAUCUCCAUAGGCUUGUGUCUUCCUACUUUAAGAUCUGUUUUCUUUUAAAGCCAGCUACGUGUCUGGGAAAUAUACACUCUGGUGUUCCAAGAGGGCAGAGGGAGGUAUUUCUAGAAAUAGCAAGAUGACAAACAAACAGAGAGAAAUUCUGGUCUUGGCUACCUUACUGUAAACUCAGCCCAUGGAUCUUUUUUCAGAACUGAGGUUUCCCAUCUGUCAAUGGAUGGCUAUAAAUCCCAGCAGAUGUUGAAGAGACAUCUGGAGUGUAUCCCUUGCACUCCCAGUGUCAGUGAGCAUCACCCAGUUGCAAUACACUUUUGCUGACCUAAGGGAAUUUGUGGUCUUCCCUCCAAACAAACGGGUGUUUGCAAAAAUUGUGAUAGGUCUGACAUCCUCUCCUACAAUUACUAAGAGUCUCUGAUACUGAGACUCCUGCUUAGCACUUGUCUUUCCAUAGCCAAAUUUAAUGAGCAUCUAAAUUAGCCAUUUUAUAAACUAAUGGGGUGGGUGCUGAGGAAUGGGCUCUUUGCCAUGCUGCGACAAGACCAUUAGCAACGGGGAAAUUGGGAACCUUCAGCGUGCAGGAAGCUGAAUGCGUGGAUUUGAACCUCGUUGGAAUGAAAAUGAGGGCAGGGGAUUUUUCAAGGAACCCAAUGUAUUUUUCAAAACUCGUCAGUUGAAUUUGAACGGGCUCUCCAGAUGCCUUCAAAAUCUUCAGCCUCAGUUCUGAAGGUGAGAAAGAGGAAAUGUUCCAUCCUCCCACGUCUGGUCACAGCCCAAGGUGCCCGGUCAAGGGGGAAAGGCUUCCAGCCAGCCACAUUUUUCUGAAACAACUCAAUUGUACAGAGUGAACGCCAAGGCCCAGCUUUGUUCUGGGCUUUGCAUGUAUUUUCAAGUCAGUGUUUAUUUUGCCUGAUCUGCCCUGACUCUCUGGUUCCUGUUAGUGUUCUCUCCUAUUGUUGCUGGUGAACUCUGGCCCUUACCGGGAUUUAUGGUGGAGUUGCCUUUGUCUGAGGAGGUACAGGGGAGAUUUUCCAAUAGUGGAGUGCCAGGACAAAAGCAAGGGCAGAACUUUUUUGCAUUUUCAUCCCAUUCUACCCCUUUUAUCUCUGCUUCCUCUCCUCUGGGCUGUUUUUCAGCAGCAGCUGCCCUGCCUCUUGUGGUUGCUCUUUGCCCCGUCCCAUGUAGAGGCAUGGAGCUGCCAAGCCUCUGCCCUGUGCCAAGAUGCCAUGUAUGUUCCUCAGCUGACCAACCUCCUUUGCUUCUGUACAUGCUAUUAAAAAAGGUAGAGGGCAAUAAAGCUCAUUUACUACCCCAUAUAAUUAACAGGGGCUGCAUCCCUGAGAUGGUGAAUGGCUUUAGGACUUGUCUUUGUUUAGUAACAUGCAUCUGUGCAAAUGAUUUGGAAGAAAAUUCCCUAAAGCAGAAACUACAGACACUUCUCUAACUGCUUCUGUAAAUUAAUAUAGCAAAGAAAGUAAGUCAGGAAAAAAAAAAAAUAAAUCCCCAAACAUGGCUUCUUUGUAAUCUGGUAAGUCUUUGACAAAAAUAAUUUUUCACCAUUAUUAAUACAUGAGCAUUUCCUUGCGUCUCCCGCAAAUAAAUAAGGUGAAAAUUUAUACUUGUUCCUGACAAAUGAUCUGUUGUGUGUCAAAAAUCCCUUCAUUCUGAUUUCCUUGGAGCUUAGCAGUUUGCACAGGAAUGCAUUAAGGAAAUUAUCUGCUUUUUUCACUUAUUUUAUCGAUCUACUUACUGGCCUUCAAUUACAUGCAACACAUUUGUUCACUUCAAGGGUUUCCUGGCUUAGAUUUGCUUUGACCCAGCUCUGUGAGUCUUCCAAAGCCAGAUGAACCCAGCAGUUUGUGUGAGCAUAGCUAGCUUUGAAAACAAUUGCUUAAGAAUCUAUUAUUUCCUCCGUAUUCAAUAUCAAAAUGUGUUUACUAGGGUUUCGUCAUACUGAAGAUCAUCAGACAAAAAGCUGUGUAUUACAGCAAUAGGCAUAAAUAUUUACAACUAACAGAGCCUAUCUAAUUUUAGGUACCUACACCCUCCACACCACUAGGAAACGAAACCAGGCUCUUCCAGGAUAUGCUCCCAGCUCUCCUAAAGAAGCAGAUCCAUUAGGCACUGUCAGUAGUGCCUUCUCAUUGCCUCUGAUGGCUCUGUUUCUACUCUUGCCUGGCAGCUCACAGUUGGAGGAUGUUAAAAGGGCAGAGCUGACAUCCGUGAGAAGGCAGAAACAUCUGCUGUUAUGCCCUGGCCGGCUGCCGCCCUCACCAGCUCGGCAGUGCUUGAGGAAAUCCGAAGAACCACACGGUGGGAAGACCCUAUUCUUUGGAGAAAAAAAAAAAAAAAAAAAAAA
Molecule: long non-coding RNA, 8325 nt
Organism: Oxyura jamaicensis (ruddy duck)
Lineage: Eukaryota; Metazoa; Chordata; Aves; Anseriformes; Anatidae
Exons: 6
Source: RefSeq, a predicted model, not a curated record